Molecule: ribosomal RNA, 384 nt
Filed under: uncultured bacterium
Lineage: Bacteria
Description: bacterial SSU rRNA
Rfam family: Bacterial small subunit ribosomal RNA
Source: RNAcentral
AUUGAACGCUGGCGGCAUGCCUUACACAUGCAAGUCGAACGGUAACGGGCCUUCGGGUGCCGACGAGUGGCGAACGGGUGAGUAAUGCAUCGGAACGUACCUUUCAGUGGGGGAUAACGUAGCGAAAGUUACGCUAAUACCGCAUAUUCUAUGAGCAGGAAAGCAGGGGAUCGCAAGACCUUGCGCUGAUUGAGCGGCCGAUGUCAGAUUAGCUAGUUGGUGAGGUAAAGGCUCACCAAGGCGACGAUCUGUAGCGGGUCUGAGAGGAUGAUCCGCCACACUGGAACUGAGACACGGUCCAGACUCCUACGGGAGGCAGCAGUGGGGAAUUUUGGACAAUGGGGGCAACCCUGAUCCAGCCAUGCCGCGUGAGUGAAGAAGGCC